GGCUGUUCGCCGAUUAAAGUGGUACGUGAGCUGGGUUUAGAACGUCGUGAGACAGUUCGGUCCCUAUCUGCCGUGGGUGUUAGAAUCUUGAGAGGAGCUGUCCCUAGUACGAGAGGACCGGGAUGGACAUACCUCUGGUGUAUCCGUUGUGGCGCCAGCUGCAUCGCAGAGUAGCUAUGUAUGGAUGAGAUAAGCACUGAAAGCAUCUAAGUGCGAAACUCGCCGCGAGAUGAGAUCUCGUUGAGAGCCGUGGAAGACGACCACGUUGAUAGGCCGCAGGUGUAAAGAUGGUGACAUCAAAGCCGAGCGGUACUAAUUGCUCAAAAGCUUAUGAA
RNAcentral lists this ribosomal RNA (335 nucleotides) under Flavobacteriales bacterium. RNAcentral describes it as "bacterial LSU rRNA". It matches the Rfam family "Bacterial large subunit ribosomal RNA", at positions 2575 to 2925 of the family's 2925-position model. The record is from RNAcentral. Lineage: Bacteria; Pseudomonadati; Bacteroidota; Flavobacteriia; Flavobacteriales.